Molecule: small nucleolar RNA, 107 nt
Organism: Hibiscus syriacus
Lineage: Eukaryota; Viridiplantae; Streptophyta; Magnoliopsida; Malvales; Malvaceae
Source: RefSeq, a predicted model, not a curated record
AAACCAUGCAUCAAGCAUUUACGCAACAAUUCUUUAAAUUGCUCUCAUGCUUCGUACAAGCUCUUGUCCUCCAAUUUCUUGAAAGAUGUGAUAUCAUUCCUCAGUUU